CCUACGGGCGGCAGCAGUGGGGAAUAUUGGACAAUGGGCGAAAGCCUGAUCCAGCCAUGCCGCGUGUGUGAAGAAGGCCUUCGGGUUGUAAAGCACUUUCAGUGGGGAAGAAAGCCUUGGGGCUAAUACCCUCGAGGAAGGACAUCACCCACAGAAGAAGCACCGGCUAACUCCGUGCCAGCAGCCGCGGUAAUACGGAGGGUGCGAGCGUUAAUCGGAAUUACUGGGCGUAAAGCGCGCGUAGGCGGUCUGAUAAGCCGGUUGUGAAAGCCCCGGGCUCAACCUGGGAACGGCAUCCGGAACUGUCAGGCUAGAGUGCAGGAGAGGAAGGUAGAAUUCCCGGUGUAGCAGUGAAAUGCGUAGAGAUCGGGAGGAAUACCAGUGGCGAAGGCGGCCUUCUGGACUGACACUGACGCUGAGGUGCGAAAGCGUGGGUAGCGAACAGGAUUAGAUACCCGAGUAGUC
Molecule: ribosomal RNA, 465 nt
Filed under: Vreelandella stevensii
Lineage: Bacteria; Pseudomonadati; Pseudomonadota; Gammaproteobacteria; Oceanospirillales; Halomonadaceae
Description: partial 16S ribosomal RNA
Rfam family: Bacterial small subunit ribosomal RNA
Source: RNAcentral